UACAGAGGGUGCAAGCGUUAAUCGGAAUUACUGGGCGUAAAGGGUGCGUAGGUGGUUAUUUAAGUGAGGUGUGAAAGUCCUGGGCUCAACCUGGGGACUGCGCCUUAUACUGGAUGACUAGAGUCUUGUAGAGGGAAGUGGAAUUUCCGGUGUAGCAGUGAAAUGCGUAGAUAUCGGAAGGAACAUCAGUGGCGAAGGCGACUUCCUGGACAAAGACUGACACUGAGGCACGAAAGCAUGGGGAGCAAACAGG
Molecule: ribosomal RNA, 253 nt
Filed under: uncultured organism
Description: partial 16S ribosomal RNA
Rfam family: Bacterial small subunit ribosomal RNA
Source: RNAcentral